RNAcentral lists this ribosomal RNA (108 nucleotides) under uncultured eukaryote. RNAcentral describes it as "partial small subunit ribosomal RNA". The record is from RNAcentral.
UCACACCUACCGAUUGAAUGGUCCGAUGAAGCCUCGGGAUUGUGGCCAGUGCCUCUAUUGGUGUUGGCUGUGAGAACUUGUCUAAACCUUAUCAUUUAGAGGAAGGUG